Molecule: non-coding RNA, 2786 nt
Organism: Manis javanica (Malayan pangolin)
Lineage: Eukaryota; Metazoa; Chordata; Mammalia; Pholidota; Manidae
Source: RefSeq, a predicted model, not a curated record
GUAAAUAUUUCUGCUCCACAGUAGACAGAAAUGGACAGAGUUGAAGAGAAACAGGCUGUGUAAGACAGUGACUGACAGCAGCUGAUUGCCGGGAGCACCCCACCCCCACCGUGCAUUCCCACGUUUAUAAAGGAGGCAGCCGUGACACUAAGCCAAGGGUUUGAAAGCUCUAGAAGCUCACAGGCAGUCUGUACUGAUACACCUUAAGGCCAUCCAACCAUCCUGCUCUUCAUCUCAACUCCCCCUAGACUUAUCAUCCACUGAUGAUUCCUGCCCCACCCGGUUGUUACUUGUGAUGUUGGCAAAGCAGGGUUUCCAGCUCUGUCGGUCCCUGCACGUCGACCAGUCAGCUCGCGGCCGCUCAUGCCAGCUCAUGGUGGUCUACUGAUGAAGACUGCUGGUGCUGUGAACCCAGUCCCAGGAGGGUCUCACUGUCUUGUGUGCUCUCUGACUUGAGCACCUUUUACUCCGAAUCUCAGGUUGAGUCCCUGGGACACGCUCUCUGGAAAAACACAGCAAAAGGGAUAAAAGGACUCACCAGUCAGAACAUUUUAAAUGACUCUUUAGAAAUUGAAGUGCAACACUUUAAAUUGAAAUCAUAAACGACACAUGUUUGGCCAAGGAGUGAAUCAAAAGGCUCCCUGAAAUGGAGCUUCCCCAGGAACUUGGUCGAGGCCAUCGGUGAAGAAGCAGGCUGCCCCCUGGGGCACCCCGGGCACAGCUGUUCACACCGUGUGUCAGGUCACACCAGGUGACAGGCAAUUGGUUCAUCAGAUGGCCCGGAUGGACACCAGCUGGGGAGGCUCAGAGAAGGUGGUUCUCUGCUAUUUACACUCAAGAGGUGGGUUCUUCCAAAGGGAUUCAGUUUGUCACGUGGACAAACCAAGGCUACAGAAAGGCAGGAACAGUACCAGAGAUUUCACUUGCCACAUAAGUGGUCCUCCAUGUAUGUUUCUUUUUCUUUCAACUUGCUGCUUCAGUUUCACCUCUUUCUUGAAAUAUUUCCAGGCUAAUAGCUCUUGGCAUGUUAUCAUUGGGUAUAUUUCCCCUGCAGCUGUUGGAUACACACAGGGACAACAAUUUUAGUAUCAGUCAUUGAUAUAAAGCUUCAUCGUAGUUAACCACUUCAUUUUAUUAUUAUUUGCCCACCUGGCAGUUAUGUACAUCACUACUUAAGAAAGUGUUUCAAUUUUGAGUCUACUUCUGCUCAGGUAAUUUUUUAAAUGUUUAUUGAAAUUAAGGUCUAUCCAGAAACAUGUAUAUCUUUUUAUUAAUACUAAUAGAAAUAUCACUAUAACAUAAUAUAUAACAUAUUUAAAAUAUAUUUAAUAUCCAAAAAAUCUGGUAAGUUUUAUAGCUUUAAUAUUGGUCCUGUACCUUUUUAUUCUAAUGUUUUAUGGAUUUUAUGAUUUUUAAUGUUUUUCUUUUCUUUGAUGAACAUCUGUGUUAUAGUUUGGGGCUAGAGCGAAUAAAGCUGCUAUAAAAUUCAUGUACUAGUCUUUUUAUGAAUACAUGCUUCCAUUAUUCUUGGUCAAAACCUAGGUGACAGAUUGCUGAGUCAUACCUUAGGUAGAUGUUUAGUUUUAUAAGACGAUGUCAACCUGUUUUCCUAAACUGGUUUUUCUAUUUCAGAUACUUCCAGCUAUAGAUGAGAAUUCUGGUUGCUGUACAUCAUGACUAACACUUGGUAUUAUUAAUUUUAUUUUUAAAAUUUCAGCUUUUCUAAAUGCUUAUAAAGCUGUGUCUACCUGUGGUUCUAAUUCACAUUUCCUUGACAGCUACAGAUACAGAAAUCUCUUUCUGUGUUUGUUGGACAAUCAUGUAUCUACCUUGGUGAAGUGGCUGUUCAAAUGUUUAAUGGAUUUAAAAGUUUGGUCAUUUUGCUUCUUAUUAUGGAGUUGUGAGAUUCUUUAUAUUCUGGAUCUGAAACUUUUUGGAGAUGGGUCUGUGGACACCAGUGGGUCUGCAGGAUGAAAAUUGUUUUUAAAAUAAUACCAAACCAUUAUUUGCCUUUUUGUUAUGUUGACAUAUGCACUGAUGGUAAACAAGCACACAAACAAACAGGAAGGGUGGGAACGCCACUGGCUCCUCAGCACGAAUCAAGGUGGUGCCACCAAACUGUGCUAGUGGUCAUUGUAUUCUUCACUGUCACCCACUGGUAGUUUUAGAAUAUGCCUGUUUUAUGGAAGAGUGUAUUGUAACUUAUGAUACACUAACGUUAACCUAUUUUGAGUGGUGAGGGCAUUAAUCUGCUUAACCACAGGCUGACAAAGGAGAUUUAAAAGACAAGAUGUCAUGUGUGGGGGGACACAUGGGAGUGAGGGAGAACACAUGUCACGAAGAAAGAGUAAGUCAAAGAAUAUAGUGAUUUAGAGGCAUAUAAAUGUCAUUUACGUUACUCUCCUUAUGUCACCAACGUCCGUGGCUUCCUCGGCUGGUAUGGUUAUAAGAGCUGCUGUGCACUGUCUAUAACAGUAAUGAAGCUGUCUUUUAUAUGCAUCUCUAACCUCACGUAGCGGCGAUUGGAACCCGCUCCACCACGCUGGAAUUCCAGGUACCACUAGCUUAGGGCCUUCCUGAGAGGAGAACCGGUUUCUGUUCUGAGAACCGUGAAGUGCUCUCUUGUGUCACUGAACACCGUUAAGGAGCUGAAAAAUCUCUUCCUAAAGCAAAAACCUUUCAGCAGAAAUCAAUGAUAUUUUAGGGGUUUUUUGUUAAAGGGGUAGGGUCUUUAUAAUUGGCUUGAGCAAUGAAAACACCAUGCACUGAAAGAAGCGGUGUGAGCA